This 301-nucleotide ribosomal RNA is filed under the name uncultured bacterium. Its description in RNAcentral is "partial 16S ribosomal RNA". It matches the Rfam family "Bacterial small subunit ribosomal RNA", at positions 509 to 807 of the family's 1533-position model. The record is from RNAcentral.
CAGUCGCCGCGGGAAUACGGAGGGUGCAAGCGUUAAUCGGAAUUACUGGGCGUAAAGCGCACGCAGGCGGUUUGUUAAGUCAGAUAUGAAAUCCCCGAGCUUAACUUGGGAACUGCAUUUGAAACUGGCAAGCUAGAGUCUUGUAGAGGGGGGUAGAAUUCCAGGUGUAGCGGUGAAAUGCGUAGAGAUCUGGAGGAAUACCGGUGGCGAAGGCGGCCCCCUGGACAAAGACUGACGCUCAGGUGCGAAAGCGUAGGGAGCAAACAGGAUUAGAUACCCCGGUAGUCCCUGUCUCUUAUAC